Vicugna pacos (alpaca) is the source of this 1832-nucleotide long non-coding RNA. RefSeq lists it as uncharacterized. Lineage: Eukaryota; Metazoa; Chordata; Mammalia; Artiodactyla; Camelidae. The record is from RefSeq and is a predicted model, not a curated record.
CCGCCACCAGGGACAGUAGAGAGCCCGGGGUGGGAGGCGUGCUCGGUAGAGAACCAUGGCCGUCGGAAAACGAAGAUGGUCGCUUCAGCCACGGUCAUUUAUCAAUUGAGUGACUAGACUGUCUCUAGCCAAGACUGGGUUGAGGGUGGGGAUCGCAGAAAGUUCGAGGCGGGCCUCACUGGGGUAGGGGGACGGGUGAGGAAACUGAGGCCCGAUCGGAUUUUGUUCUUAAUUGCUCUGCGGAUUUUAUUGGGGGGGCGGGGCGGGGUCAUCUGGGGUGAUUGUAUUAGAGAAGGAGGGGAGACUCCUGGGGAAUUGUGCGACGUCCAACUCAGCUGCUUUUAGUUGGGGCGAGGGCGGUGAGGAGCGGGCGACAGAGGGCGCCGGAGAGCGCGGGGCUGGGCCGGGCUGUUAAUUAUCCCCAAGUAGGGGGCGAACCCCGCAGCCACCGGGGUGGGGGUGCGGGGAGUGGCUUUAAUUACGAGAAAGAAAAAUAAUUAAAAUGACGUGAAGAACAGAAUAAUUUAACACCCUCUGCUACUCCUGACUGUUAUUUUUCAGACGACUACCCCGGCUUCGUUUUUGAAAUAAUAAAAGGGUAAAAACAGCUACUAGAGUCAGGGUGAGAAUUUCCAAACAUUUGGAAACCAGUUUAAAUUUGCAAGACCACGAAGCUUUUUCUGCAUUCCGCUUUCCCCAUCUUCAUCAGCCCUUUAGCGAUGAUCUCAGUGGCAUUUAGUCUGGAUUAAAUUGUUCUGUGUACGGUAUUGUGUUGUGGGUACUUAUUUUCAAGUUACCACUUUUGUUAAUGUUUGCCUCUUCAUUUGAUUGUGAGCUCUUCAAGGCAGAAGUCUAUUUUAAUUUUUUUUCUCUUAAUUUCCCCGCAGGGCCUCGUUAGUAUUCCUCUGCCUCUGCUCACGGACUGUGAAAGAGUGCCACAAAUCCUGUUCAACAGAAAUCUGGGACCACUGAACAUAGCUUUAAAUUCCUGGAGAAAAAGAGACAGAACAACAGGGACCCUAUUUAUUGAGAAUAGAUGACCUUGGGUUGUGGUGGAUUCUUUCCUGUGUUGACCAGUAGCACCCAUUUCACUAGCCUGCUCUGCAGAUCUGUUGCUUCUCAAAAUGAUUGUUUAAUGGUUUUUUUUAAGUGAAUUUGAAAAUGUAUAAUCCCUUUGACCUGCUCUGCUGUUUCUCGACAAGCUUCUCCUUCCCAGAAACCCCCACCUUCUCACAACUGCAUCACCUUUCCUCAGGCUGUUUGUUCCCUUUGCCUUAACAUUUCCUUUCCCUCGUUCUCUAUUCUGUGUAGCAAAUCCCAGCUCCCUCUUCAGUAUGUCCUCCGUGAAGUCUUACCUGAGAUGCUCUAACAGUCUGUCCUCUAGUUCUUUCCUCAGUGUUCCCCCGAUAGGCCGGUUUAGCACAUGCUCUGCGACCAGGCGGACCUGGAGUCCUGUGCCAACUCUGCUGACUCGAGCUGAGUAGCCCCGGGCAGAUGCCUUCACCUGUCUCUAAGCCUCCUUACCUGCAACCGGAGGAGUAGGGGGCCCUUCCAAGCCUCGCAGGACAGUGGUAGGGUUGUGCAUGCAAAGCACCUAGCACGGGCCUGGCACAAGGGAAGCUCUCCGUAAAUGGAGCUCUUGUGUGAAUAGACGUACUUUUACUGCUCACUGUUUUGUGGUUAUUUGUUUUCAUGUCUGGCUUUUCCACUAGACCGUGAGCAAGACAAGAAUCAAGUCUUCAUUCUUGUGUUUUGUUUUGUGUUUUAACUGUUUAAGUCAUCUUUAUUAAGGUGUAAUUUACAUUCAAUAAAAUGCAUCCAUUUAAAAUGUA